AUGGCACACCACCCAACUGCCACUGCCCAUGCAGUGGCUGGGGCGUGCACCCCUGGGAAGCUAGAAGAACCUCAGAAGGGAGCCAAGCUAGAAGGAAUAUCAGAUUCCCCUUGCCUCUCCUUUUCUCACCUUUGAAAAUGGAAAGAGAAAGAAACUGGCGCCAAGACCUGCCUGCUGAGCAACCAGAACUGCGGAUGAGGAACUGGAUUGGUUUUCAUGAAGGCACAAGGUCUCACCUAGGUGCAUUUUUGUCUGUGUGGGUGGUCGGCUGCUGAGGAACCUGUUGUUGAGAAGACUAUCUUUGAUCCCUAUGUUGUUCUUAUCCAAAAUCCACCGACUGUGACUGUGGUAUAUUCCUGGCUUUGUGGCUUGUUCCAUUGAACUUACUGUCUCUUACCUUGAUUCCGAAUUAUCUCAUCUGAGCUGCUGGACCAAAUCACUACAGCCCAGGGAGCAUCAACACAGGAUGUUCAUUUUGCAAAGUUCUGGAAACCACAAAAACAAAGGUCAAAGACUGAGGUGACCGGUGUCUGCUGAGCACCCUUCUCUCAGUCUGAAGACAGCUCACCCUUCUGUUGUAUCUCCCCACGGUGAAGAGAAGGCCACGUCUUCCAAAUCUCUUCCCUCUUUUCUUUAAGUAUGCUUCUAAGAGCCUAAGAAGUUAUAAACAAGCCAGAGACCACCCGGAAUGUUUUUCUGAUGCCUUCUAUGAAGUUUAUAGCUUUGUAGUUAACAUUUCAUUCCUUAAAAGUACUUGGCUUUCGUUACAUUUGUCCUGACAUCUAAAACUUCCCAGCCAAACUGUAGUGGCACCGCUACUCCUACCAAUUAUAUUUUACUGUCUUUUCUUAUUUUUUUUAGACGAUUUCAAGUCUACUUAUCUAAUAAAAGAGAGCACU
Molecule: small RNA, 899 nt
Filed under: Rattus norvegicus (Norway rat)
Lineage: Eukaryota; Metazoa; Chordata; Mammalia; Rodentia; Muridae
Description: uncharacterized LOC108350795
Source: RNAcentral